GUGGGGAAUAUUGCACAAUGGGGGAAACCCUGAUGCAGCAACGCCGCGUGAGUGAUGACGGUCUUCGGAUUGUAAAGCUCUGUCUUUAGGGACGAUAAUGACGGUACCUAAGGAGGAAGCCACGGCUAACUACGUGCCAGCAGCCGCGGUAAUACGUAGGUGGCAAGCGUUGUCCGGAUUUACUGGGCGUAAAGCGCACGCAGGCGGUCUGUCAAGUCGGAUGUGAAAUCCCCGGGCUCAACCUGGGAACUGCAUUCGAAACUGGAUAUCUAGAGUGCAGGAGAGGAAAGGAGAAUUCCUAGUGUAGCGGUGAAAUGCGUAGAGAUUAGGAAGAAUACCAGUGGCGAAGGCGCCUUUCUGGACUGUAACUGACACUGAGGCUCGAAAGCGUGGGGAGCAAACAGGAUUAGAUACCCCAGUAGUCC
Molecule: ribosomal RNA, 425 nt
Filed under: uncultured Clostridiaceae bacterium
Lineage: Bacteria; Bacillati; Bacillota; Clostridia; Eubacteriales; Clostridiaceae
Description: bacterial SSU rRNA
Rfam family: Bacterial small subunit ribosomal RNA
Source: RNAcentral